AUGAACGCUGGCGGCGCGCCUAAUACAUGCAAGUCGAGCGAGAAGACGUAGCAAUACGUUUGUAAAGCGGCGAACGGGUGAGGAAUACAUGGGUAACCUACCCUCGAGUGGGGAAUAACUAGCCGAAAGGUUAGCUAAUACCGCGUACGCUCCUUGGACUUCGGUUCAGGGAGGAAAGCGAUACCGUGGGUAUCGCGCUCUUGGUUGGGCUCAUGUCCUAUCAGCUUGUUGGUGAGGAACGGCUCACCAAGGCUUCGACGGGUAGCUGGUCUGAGAGGACGAUCAGCCACACUGGCACUGCGACACGGGCCAGACUCCUACGGGAGCAGCAGUAAGGAAUAUUGCGCAAUGGGCGAAAGCCUGACGCAGCGACGCCGCGUGGGGGAUGAAGGUCUUCGGAUUGUAAACCCCUUUCGGGAGGGAAGAUGGAACGAGCAAUCGUUCGGACGGUACCUCCAGAAGCAGCCACGGCUAACUUCGUGCCAGCAGCCGCGGUAAG
RNAcentral lists this ribosomal RNA (499 nucleotides) under uncultured bacterium. RNAcentral describes it as "bacterial SSU rRNA". It matches the Rfam family "Bacterial small subunit ribosomal RNA", at positions 29 to 524 of the family's 1533-position model. The record is from RNAcentral.